UGGCUAAGCAACCCUACAAUUUAAGAA
This 27-nucleotide non-coding RNA is filed under the name Rattus norvegicus (Norway rat). The record is from RNAcentral. Lineage: Eukaryota; Metazoa; Chordata; Mammalia; Rodentia; Muridae.